CUUGGUCAUUUAGAGGAAGUAAAAGUCGUAACAAGGUUUUCCUAAGGGAAUAUACUAGACAUAUGCCUAUGAAGCCUUGGAUAUCGAGUCUAUUAUAUAGGCAACACCUUUACUGUGCUUGAAUACCUAUUAGGUUACAUGCAGCUGCUAUGACAGUUCACAGAUCAAAUGAAGGUGGCCCUAAUUUAAGGAAUUCAGGGUUCAGAUAUGACCGGCCUGCUCUUGAGAAAGUGUAGAGUAAGUGUUCCGUAGGUGAACCUGCGGAAGGAUCAUUACAGAGAAUAUGCCCUUUGGGGUAGAUCUCCCACCCUUUGUUUACUUUACCUUUGUUGCUUUGGCAAGCCCGCUCUUGGGGCCGCCGGCUUUUUGCUGGCCAGCGCUUGCCAAUGGACUCAAACUCUGUAUAUUAUGUCGUCUGAGUUAUUAUAUAAUAGUUAAAACUUUCAACAACGGAUCUCUUGGUUCUGGCAUCGAUGAAGAACGCAGCGAAAUGCGAUAAGUAAUGUGAAUUGCAGAAUUCAGUGAAUCAUCGAAUCUUUGAACGCACAUUGCACCCUCUGGUAUUCCGGGGGGUAUGCCUGUUCGAGCGUCAUUUCAACCUUCAAGCACUGCUUGGUGUUGAGUAUCACUAUUUUAGUGGACUCUAAAAUCAGUGGCAGCGUCAUUCAGCUUCCAGCGUAGUAAAUUUCUCGCUGUUGAAGCUUAAUUUGCUCCCUGCUAGAAACUCCUAAUAUUUAAAAGGUUGACCUCGGAUCAGGUAGGGAUACCCGCUGAACUUAAGCAUAUCAAUAAGCGGAGGA
Molecule: ribosomal RNA, 800 nt
Filed under: uncultured Helotiales
Lineage: Eukaryota; Fungi; Ascomycota; Leotiomycetes; Helotiales
Description: eukaryotic LSU rRNA
Rfam family: 5.8S ribosomal RNA (bases 439-592)
Source: RNAcentral